This 460-nucleotide ribosomal RNA is filed under the name uncultured bacterium. Its description in RNAcentral is "partial 16S ribosomal RNA". It matches the Rfam family "Bacterial small subunit ribosomal RNA", at positions 338 to 795 of the family's 1533-position model. The record is from RNAcentral.
CCUACGUGUGGCAGCAGUGAGGAAUAUUGGUCAAUGGACGCAAGUCUGAACCAGCCAUGCCGCGUGCAGGAAGACGGCUCUAUGAAUUGUAAACUUCUUUUGUACGAGGGUAAACGCAGCUACGUGUAUCUGUCUGAAAGUAUCGUACGAAUAAGCAUCGGCUAACUCCGUGCCAGCAGCCGCGGUAAUACGGAGGAUUCAAGCGUUAUCCGGAUUUAUUGGGUUUAAAGGGUGCGUAGGCGGUCGGAUAAGUUAGAGGUGAAAUCCAGAGGCUCAACUUCGGACUUGCCUCUGAUACUGUUCGUCUAGAGAGUAGUGGCGAUAGGCGGAAUGUAUGGUGUAGCGGUGAAAUGCUUAGAGAUCAUACAGAACACCGAUUGCGAAGGCAGCUUACCAAGCUACUUCUGACGUUGAGGCACGAAAGCGUGGGGAGCAAACAGGAUUAGAUACCCGAGUAGUC